CGGACCCUCUGUCUCUAAAUAAUGGAGAGAUUAAGCUCCACCUUGGGAUCUGCUUGUUCCUACUGAAAUCGAUGGAAGUUCUCCUUCACAGCUGAUUGCAGUGGGGAAAAAUGGAUCCAGCUUCUGCACAAUAAUGACAGGAAGGGGAAUGGAGUGUUGGUGAUGACACAAGGAGAGAGAAGAAAUAAAUCCCACUGGGGCAGUGUGGACAGAAGUGCCUGUUUGCUCUGGAAAGAAUUGGAAGAAGAAGAAAAGAAGUGGAUUGCUGAGGUACAUUAAUAGUACAAGAACUGCAAAAUGGCUGAAAACAGGGGGAUGAUAUUUAUAAAGCAGUCUAGUUUUGAAAAGAUCAAAGGCAGAGGGAGAGAAAUAAAGCAUUGGAUGUGUCU
Molecule: long non-coding RNA, 389 nt
Organism: Ficedula albicollis (Collared flycatcher)
Lineage: Eukaryota; Metazoa; Chordata; Aves; Passeriformes; Muscicapidae
Exons: 3
Source: RefSeq, a predicted model, not a curated record